AUUGAACGCUGGCGGCAUGCCUUACACAUGCAAGUCGAACGGCAGCGCGGGCUUCGGCCUGGCGGCGAGUGGCGAACGGGUGAGUAAUGCAUCGGAACGUGCCCAGUAGUGGGGGAUAGCCCAGCGAAAGCCGGAUUAAUACCGCAUACGACCUGAGGGUGAAAGCGGGGGACCGAAAGGCCUCGCGCUAUUGGAGCGGCCGAUGUCGGAUUAGCUAGUUGGUGGGGUAGAGGCUUACCAAGGCGACGAUCCGUAGCUGGUCUGAGAGGACGACCAGCCACACUGGGACUGAGACACGGCCCAGACUCCUACGGGAGGCAGCAGUGGGGAAUUUUGGACAAUGGGGGCAACCCUGAUCCAGCCAUGCCGCGUGCGGGAAGAAGGCCUUCGGGUUGUAAACCGCUUUUGUUCGGGAAGAAAUCCUCUGGGCUAAUACCCCGGGGGGAUGACGGUACCGGAAGAAUAAGCACCGGCUAACUACGUG
This 484-nucleotide ribosomal RNA is filed under the name uncultured bacterium. RNAcentral's name for it is "partial 16S ribosomal RNA". It matches the Rfam family "Bacterial small subunit ribosomal RNA", at positions 28 to 507 of the family's 1533-position model. The record is from RNAcentral.